GACGAACGCUGGCGGCGUGCCUAAUACAUGCAAGUAGAACGCACAGUUUAUACCGUAGCUUGCUACACCAUACACUGUGAGUUGCGAACGGGUGAGUAACGCGUAGGUAACCUGCCUGGUAGCGGGGGAUAACUAUUGGAAACGAUAGCUAAUACCGCAUAAUAUUGAUUAUUGCAUGAUAAUUGAUUGAAAGAUGCUAUUGCAUCACUACCAGAUGGACCUGCGUUGUAUUAGCUAGUAGGUGAGGUAACGGCUCACCUAGGCGACGAUACAUAGCCGACCUGAGAGGGUGAUCGGCCACACUGGGACUGAGACACGGCCCAGACUCCUACGGGAGGCAGCAGUAGGGAAUCUUCGGCAAUGGACGAAAGUCUGACCGAGCAACGCCGCGUGAGUGAAGAAGGUUUUCGGAUCGUAAAGCUCUGUUGUAAGAGAAGAACGGGUGUGAGAGUGGAAAGUUCACACUGUGACGGUAUCUUACCAGAAAGGGACGGCUAGCUACGUG
RNAcentral lists this ribosomal RNA (505 nucleotides) under uncultured bacterium. RNAcentral's name for it is "partial 16S ribosomal RNA". It matches the Rfam family "Bacterial small subunit ribosomal RNA", at positions 28 to 507 of the family's 1533-position model. The record is from RNAcentral.